This 1910-nucleotide long non-coding RNA is filed under the name Olea europaea (common olive). Its description in RNAcentral is "long non-coding RNA (OEUR_LNC007892)". Lineage: Eukaryota; Viridiplantae; Streptophyta; Magnoliopsida; Lamiales; Oleaceae. The record is from RNAcentral.
UUAUCCCCAAAUGACCCCAAGGGAAAGAGAGAUCAAGGGAAGCAAAGAGAAAUAGAAAGAAACAAGAAGCUAGAAUUCUGGACAGCUGAAUUACUUCACUAUUUUGAGGUUGGUAUCCAUUAUUUUUGAGGGGUUUAUAAUCUUUCGAACAUCUAAACUUGAUGGUGAUUUGGUGAUCAGGUUAUUGGUGAUUUUAUGAUGGCAAAAUAAGGGCAAUUAAUUACAAGAAAUUGAAAGAAAACCAAAAACUGUCACAAGGAAAACUGCCUAAUUUUGUGUUGUGGAAAAAUGAUGAUUUUGUAGGUUAAAACACUUCACUUAUCACAACUUAAUGACAUUUUUACCUUCAUAUACAUUCUAUAGAAAUAUGGUAAAAAUUUUGGAGUCGUUAGAUAUAGUCAGGGGGGUGAAAAACGAUUGGAAAAAUAGUUGGAUGGUAAUGGAAAACUGAAAAAUAGAUUCUGUCCAUUUACGUGUUUGAUGUAGUUUCAACCUUUACAUGUCCAUUGAUCAUCUCUUGGAACUAGAAAAUAGAUUCUAAGGAGUACUAGGUUGUUGACAACAAUUGAUUGACGUUGAUGGUCAUAAUUGGACUCGAGAAAUUGCGAGAUUUAUGGGGCUAGAUUGUAAUGACUUCGGUAACUUAAAAUUAUAAUUUCGCCUAAAUUGUUUUGGCAUGAAUGGACGUAUUUUGGGAUUGUGUGUGUUAAGGUUAUUUAUUAAAUGAAAGAUUGUCUUUAAUAUUAGAUGGUAAUAUAGCUGAUUUUUCAACGUUGAGUGAAAAAGGAAACUGAUAUACACCCGUAGGAGCUUGCACACACAAAGGCAGAAGGUAAGUAAAAAUUCAUUUCCAACUAUGAUGUAAGAAUCUAUUAUUUGUAAAAUGGUAAUGUUGGAAUAUUUACACAAGUUUGAUAAGAGACUUAUUGCACAUUAUAUGAUGGUUAUGAUCGGUGAGUAUGAGGUUGCAGAACCUAUUGAUAUCAAUUUUCAUUAAAUAUAUCAUUCAUGAACAUUUUCAUCUGCAUGCACGAUAUGUGAUUCAUGGUUGAAAAUUCUGCAUGUGAAACAUAAUUUCAAAUUGAAUUUUCCUUAUAAAUGUUUUAUUAACCACUACUAGGGUACUGAGGCAUGUGAGGCAUGCUUAUAUGAUAUGUUUUGAUAUCGCGAGUGAUACUCUUUAGGUAAUUGCAAAGGUAGAGAGGGGAUGGGCCUUUGGUGAUCACGGGAAGGUGGACCACUCGACUGUGCCUUUAAGAUAUUAUGAUUAUUGGAGUUGCCAGAUGAGAUGCUUCUUAGGGGAUCAUAGAGGUAGUUAGUAGAUGGGCCUCUAGUGGUCAUGAGAGGACGGUCCACUUGCCGGUAUCGAUUUCAUAUUAGCCAUUUGAUUAUUAAUUAUUGAUAUUGAUAUUAUGCAAAGCUCUAUCCGAUGCAUUGUAGGUGAAUCAAGGGCCCAAUGAAAUGAAAGAUUUCAAAUGAAAUGAUUUCGAGUUAACUUUGAUAAAUAUUGGAAUAUGAUGUAUCUUUAGCGUGACGUUUAAAGUAAAUAGCAUAGUGUCAUAUAUCAUUGUUACUCAUGCUCAUGACAUGUAUGAUUUUUUUUUUACUAAGCAUUGGCUUACGCAGUUCUUACAUUAUAGGUGAGUAUGGAACUGUAUAGAGGGAGUACGGCUAGCUAUGGAGCUCUUACGAGAUUUUAGAGUUCGAUUACAUGAAUGACGACCUGUAGGAUUAUUUUGUGGGCUAUUUUUUUUAGCUUAUAGUCUGUUGUGUUAUAUUUUGAGGAUCCCAUAUCGUAUAUCCCUUUUGAAAUGGCCUGUAGAUAUGUAUGUUGGAUUUUGGUUAUUUGAUCUUUGGUUUUGUUAUACCAUAUGAUUGUCACAAGUUACUAGAAGUUAACAAAUGAAGAC